UGUUCUUCCACCUCAGUUUUCGUUCAACCUCAUCGUUCUAAGCUUCGUCGGAGGGCUCGCCUCGGCCACCGACAAUGAUGCGCUGGAGAGGGCCUUUUCUCUGUUCGAUCAUCAAUGACCGUGAGAUCGGGAGGUCCAGGGCCUUCGGCUUCGGCUUCGUCACCUUCAGCAAAGAGAAGGCCAUGAGGGACGCGAUCGAAGGCAUGAACGACCAGAACCUCGACAGUCGUAACACUGAGGCCUACAUUAUUCAUUAAACUUCUAGUGGUGUACUGCUGAUUACGAUUUGGGUUCCAUUUUCAUAAAAUAAGUUGUUGGAUAAUUGGACUUGGUUGACAUGAUAUUCUGAGCCUAAGAAAUUCUUGGCUUGGGAUCUAUGGAGUUCACCAUAUGACUUUUGGGACCUACAGGAUUCACCAAAUCAUCAAGUUACAACUGGGAGCACUUAUCGCGCAGAAUCUGGAUGGGAGUGCGACUUCUACUUCGGUUGUGGUCGUGAUCUGAUAGAAGAAGAUGCAAUAAAUGAGAAAUGAUACAUACAAGUGUUGGCUGCUGCUUAAAAGUAUUGUUUAUUAUUGUUCAUGUGGUCUCCAUGUCAUAUCUAAUUCAGUCCAUCACAGAAUUGCAAAUUCUGUUAAAACAUCUGGGACUCUAAGGGAGAGACUGUUUCAAACUGCCUACAGUUCCAAGAAGCAAUCCAUAAUGAGUGGUUCGAAUGGAUCACCAAUAUGGGACAGAUUGGUGUUCAACAAAAUAAAGGAAAAGCUUGGAGGACGAGUUCGUUUUAUGGGAUUCGGUGCUUCACCCUUGUCCCCUGAUGUCAUGGACUUCCUUAGAGUGUAAGUUGGCUAUCUUAUAGAAUGCAAUUUUAAAAAAAAUUUCAUUUUUUUUUUCUCAAGUGUUAAGACCAAUGAAAUUUUUGCUGCAUAUGUAACGAAAAUCGUAGGUGCUUUAGCUGUCAAGUAAUUGAAGGAUAUGGUAUGACAGAGACUUCUUGUGCCAUGAGCAUGAUGGAUGAGGGUGACAACUUAUCUGGCCACGUCUGGUCCCCUAA
Prunus avium (sweet cherry) is the source of this 1054-nucleotide non-coding RNA. NCBI's taxonomy places the organism in Eukaryota, Viridiplantae, Streptophyta, Magnoliopsida, Rosales, Rosaceae. The record is from RefSeq and is a predicted model, not a curated record.